RNAcentral lists this long non-coding RNA (258 nucleotides) under Elaeis guineensis (African oil palm). RNAcentral's name for it is "long non-coding RNA (EGUI_LNC064629)". The record is from RNAcentral. Lineage: Eukaryota; Viridiplantae; Streptophyta; Magnoliopsida; Arecales; Arecaceae.
CGUGCUCGGGGAGGAGUCUGGGCGCGCCUGUGCCCGGGAGGAGUUCGAGAAUGCGGCCGAGCUUCUCUCUCCCCUUUUUCGACUGUGGGCUUACUCGAGUCUCCCGCCUACCGCUCUCUCACGAUCUCCUCAUCCUUCAUCUUGAAGGCUUCUUCUGCUCGGGCAUACCCUUCGGCCCGAGCCAGCAAAUCAGCAAAAUCUCUGGAAUAUUUCUUCUCCCGGGAGAAUAGAAGGUCAUUCUUUUGAAGGCCGCCUUUC